Molecule: ribosomal RNA, 407 nt
Filed under: uncultured bacterium
Lineage: Bacteria
Description: bacterial SSU rRNA
Rfam family: Bacterial small subunit ribosomal RNA
Source: RNAcentral
UAGGGAAUAUUGCACAAUGGGGGAAACCCUGAUGCAGCAAUGCCGCGUGAAGGAUGAAGGAUUUCGGUUCGUAAACUUCUAUCGAUGGGGAAGAAUAAAUUGACGGUACCCAAGUAAGAAGCCCCGGCUAACUAUGUGCCAGCAGCCGCGGUAAUACAUAGGGGGCAAGCGUUAUCCGGAAUUACUGGGUGUAAAGGGUGCGUAGGCGGUUAUAUAAGUCAGAUGUGAAAACCCAAGGCUCAACCUUGGGAAUGCAUUUGAAACUAUAUGACUAGAGUACAGGAGAGGUAAGUGGAAUUCCUAGUGUAGCGGUAAAAUGCGUAGAUAUUAGGAAGAACACCAGUGGCGAAGGCGACUUACUGGACUGAAACUGACGCUGAGGCACGAAAGCGUGGGGAGCAAACAGG